RNAcentral lists this ribosomal RNA (1422 nucleotides) under uncultured bacterium. RNAcentral's name for it is "bacterial SSU rRNA". It matches the Rfam family "Bacterial small subunit ribosomal RNA". The record is from RNAcentral.
AUGCGGNCCACCAUGCAGUCGAACGAAGCGGUAGCAAUACCGACUGAGUGGCGGAAGGGUGCGUAACACGUAGGUGACCUACCUCAUCGCAGGGAACAACCAGUCGAAAGAUUGGCUAAUACCCAAAAGGUCCGAUGAUUCAUUUCGUCGAACAGACUCGCAAGGGGUGAUGAGAGGGGCCUGCGGCCCAUCAGCUAGUUGGUAGGGUAACGGCCUACCAAGGCAACGACGGGUAGGGGGUCUGAGGGGACGUCCCCCCACACUGGAACUGAAACACGGUCCAGACGCCUACGGGUGGCAGCAGUGAGGAAUAUUGGACAAUGGGCGAAAGCCCGAUCCAGCAACGCCGCGUGGAGGAUGAAGGCCUUCGGGUCGUAAACUCCUUUUAGGGAAGACGAGAAAGGACGGUAUUCCCGGAAUAAGCCACGGCAAACUACGUGCCAGCAGCCGCGGUAACACGUAGGUGGCGAGCGUUAUCCGGAUUCACUGGGCGUAAAGAGCUUGUAGGUGGCUGUGUAAGUUGGGUGUUAAAUCUCCAGGCUUAACUUGGAGUGGCCGCUCAAUACUGCAGGGCUUGAGGAUGUCAGAGGAAGAUGGAAUUCCCGGUGUAGUGGUGAAAUGCGUAGAUAUCGGGAGGAACACCCGUGGCGAAGGCGGUCUUCUGGGACAUUCCUGACACUGAGAAGCGAAAGCUAGGGGAGCGAACGGGAUUAGAAACCCCGGUAGUCCUAGCCGUAAACGAUGGAUGCUGGGUGCUGGCAGAUCUAACCCUGUCUGUGCCGAAGCCAACGCGUUAAGCAUCCCGCCUGGGAACUACGAUCGCAAGAUUAAAACUCAAAGGAAUUGACGGGGACCCGCACAAGCAGCGGAGCGUGUGGUUUAAUUCGUUGCUACACGAAGAACCUCACCCAGGUUUGACAUAUAGGUGGUAGUGAACCGAAAGGGGAACGACUCGCAAGGGAGCCUAUACAGGUGUUGCAUGGCUGUCGUCAGCUCGUGUCGUGAGAUGUUCGUUUAAGUACGCUAACGAGCGCAACUCUUAUUGCCAGUUACAAGUGUCUGGCGAGACUGCCGGCCACAAGCCGGAGGAAGGCGAGGAUGAUGUCAAGUCAGCAUGGCCUUUAUAUCUGGGGCUACACACACGCUACAAUGGGCAGGAACAAUGGGUCGCCAAGCCGUGAGGCGGAGCCAAUCCCUCAAAACUGUCCUCAGUUCAGAUUGCAGGCUGCAACCCGCCUGCAUGAAGUCGGAGUUGCUAGUAAACGCGCGUCAGCUAUAGUGCGUUGAAUACGUUCCCGGGUCUUGUACACACCGCCCGUCACGUCAUGGGAGCUGGCAACACCUGAAGCCGGUAGCGUAACCGCAAGGAGCGCGCUGUCAAAAGGUGGGGCUGGUGACUGGGACGAAGUCUACCANGAGUGG